Long non-coding RNA from Spea bombifrons (plains spadefoot toad), 263 nucleotides. RefSeq lists it as uncharacterized. The transcript is spliced from 4 exons. Lineage: Eukaryota; Metazoa; Chordata; Amphibia; Anura; Pelobatidae. The record is from RefSeq and is a predicted model, not a curated record.
CAAAGGCGACAAUCAGGUCAACAACAGAACGGUGCAGGUGCUCAGCAAAGGACAGUUCACCAAUGAGAAAUGGAUGAAUAUCCAAGUCGGCGAUAUUAUAAAACUGGAGAAUAAUAAUUUUGUAACGGCAGAUCUUCUGUUGCUGUCCAGCAGUGAACCCAACAGCUUGAUCUACAUAGAAACCGCGGAGCUUGACGGGGAAACCAACUUGAAGGUGAAACAAUCGCUGACAAUUACAGGAGAUCUGGGCGAGAACUUACAGC